Molecule: long non-coding RNA, 438 nt
Organism: Oncorhynchus tshawytscha (Chinook salmon)
Lineage: Eukaryota; Metazoa; Chordata; Actinopteri; Salmoniformes; Salmonidae
Source: Ensembl
UUACUGUAUAGCUACUGUAUAGUUACUGUAUAGCCCACUGUAUAGUUACUGUAUAGCCCACUAUACAGUAUAGCCCACUGACGCCACUGAGACACAGACUGUCUUUGAAACUGAUCUCCCUUUGUUGUGUCUCGUAAAGGUGUGUGUGUGUUCUUCUGUUUGACCUUUGACCUUUGUUGUCGAUACUGAUCUGAGAACUAAAAUCUGUCCAAGAGGAGGAAGAGACUGAAAAAACUAAAAGUGUACAGUCAGAAACUUCGAGACGUUAGUGAUGUUAGUCGAGACGUCAACACUCUUGGGAAGAAAGGAGCUAUCUCGAACCUUAAAGGACACUUUGAAGAACCCUACAUUUUGCUGCAGGUAGAACCCUACAUUUUGCAUCUUGGUUCCAGGUAGAACCCUACAUUUUGCAUCUUGGUUCCAGGUAGAACCCUACAU